RNAcentral lists this ribosomal RNA (510 nucleotides) under uncultured bacterium. Its description in RNAcentral is "partial 16S ribosomal RNA". It matches the Rfam family "Bacterial small subunit ribosomal RNA", at positions 28 to 507 of the family's 1533-position model. The record is from RNAcentral.
GACGAACGCUGGCGGCGUGCUUAACACAUGCAAGUCGAACGAAGAGCGACGGAAGCUUGCUUCUAUCAAUCUUAGUGGCGAACGGGUGAGUAACGCGUAAUCAACCUGCCCUUCAGAGGGGGACAACAGUUGGAAACGACUGCUAAUACCGCAUACGAUCUAAUCUCGACAUCGAGGAUGGAUGAAAGGUGGCCUCUACAUGUAAGCUAUCACUGAAGGAGGGGAUUGCGUCUGAUUAGCUAGUUGGAGGGGUAACGGCCCACCAAGGCGAUGAUCAGUAGCCGGUCUGAGAGGAUGAACGGCCACAUUGGGACUGAGACACGGCCCAGACUCCUACGGGAGGCAGCAGUGGGGGAUCUUCCGCAAUGGACGAAAGUCUGACGGAGCAACGCCGCGUGAGUGAUGACGGCCUUCGGGUUGUAAAGCUCUGUUAAUCGGGACGAAAGGCCUUCUUGCGAAUAGUGAGAAGGAUUGACGGUACCGGAAUAGAAAGCCACGGCUAACUACGUG